This 799-nucleotide ribosomal RNA is filed under the name uncultured bacterium. RNAcentral's name for it is "bacterial SSU rRNA". It matches the Rfam family "Bacterial small subunit ribosomal RNA", at positions 61 to 849 of the family's 1533-position model. The record is from RNAcentral.
GUCGAGGGGCAGCGGGGAGGUAGCAAUACUUUCGCCGGCGACCGGCGCACGGGUGAGUAACACGUAUGGAACCUGCCCGUAGCAGGGGGAUAAGCGGAAGAAAUUCCGUCUAAUACCGCGUAAUAACUCCGAGAGGCAUCUCAUGGAGUUUAAAGGGUAACACCGGCUACGGAUGGCCAUGCGGCGCAUUAGCUAGUUGGCGGGGUAACGGCCCACCAAGGCGACGAUGCGUAGGGGUUCUGAGAGGAAGGUCCCCCACACUGGUACUGAGACACGGACCAGACUCAAACGGGAGGCAGCAGUGAGGAAUAUUGGUCAAUGGGCGCGAGCCUGAACCAGCCAAGUCGCGUGAGGGAAGACGGUCCUAUGGAUUGUAAACCUCUUUUGUCGGGGAGCAAAAGACGCCACGCGUGGCGUUCCGAGAGUACCCGAAGAAAAAGCAUCGGCUAACUCCGUGCCAGCAGCCGCGGUAAUACGGAGGAUGCGAGCGUUAUCCGGAUUUAUUGGGUUUAAAGGGUGCGCAGGCGGAAGAUCAAGUCAGCGGUAAAAUUGAGAGGCUCAACCUCUUCGAGCCGUUGAAACUGGUUUUCCUGAGUGAGCGAGAAGUAUGCGGAAUGCGUGGUGUAGCGGUGAAAUGCAUAGAUAUCACGCAGAACUCCGAUUGCGAAGGCAGCAUACCGGCGCUCAACUGACGCUCAUGCACGAAAGCGUGGGUAUCGAACAGGAUUAGAUACCCUGCUAGUCCACGCAGUAAACGAUGAAUGCUAAUUGUCCGGAGGGAUUGACCUCUGGGUGAUAC